UCGCCUGUUUAACAAAAACAUCUCUAAAAUUUUUAGUAAUCCUGCCCACUGAAAACUUUUAAAUGGCUUCUUAAGGUAGCGCAAUAAUUAGUUUAUUAAUUAUAAACCUGAAUGAAGGAAUUACUUAUUAUAAAUAAAUAAUAUUUCUUAUUUAAUUUUAGGUUUUAGUGCAAACGCUAAAAUACCCCCUAAAGACGAUAAGACCCUAAAAUCUUCUAAAUUUUAAUUGGGAUGAUCCGCUUUUCUAACAAACUUUUUUUAAAUUUUUAAGAACCUUAUUAAGCUUUAAGUUUAAGAUACUUUAGGGAUAACAGCUUUUACUCUUUUUCAAGCUCUUAUUAAAAAAGAUUUAAAGACCUCGAUGUUGAAUUAACCCUAUAAGCCGCAAAAGGCUAAUUUUCUUUAGUCUGUUCGACUAAAAUUGGUUACGUGAUCUGAGUUCAGACCGG
RNAcentral lists this ribosomal RNA (449 nucleotides) under Kroyeria longicauda. RNAcentral's name for it is "partial 16S ribosomal RNA". Lineage: Eukaryota; Metazoa; Arthropoda; Copepoda; Siphonostomatoida; Kroyeriidae. The record is from RNAcentral.